CAUGUACUCCCUCCGUCCCAUAAUAAGUGACUUUCUAUUACAUGUAUCUAGACGCUUUUUAUACAUAGAUACAUCUAUAUUUGGGGAAAUUUGAGUCACUUAAUAUGGGACGGAGGGAGUGACAC
This is a non-coding RNA of Brachypodium distachyon (stiff brome), 125 nucleotides long. The record is from Rfam. NCBI's taxonomy places the organism in Eukaryota, Viridiplantae, Streptophyta, Magnoliopsida, Poales, Poaceae.